CCUACGGGGGGCAGCAGUCGGGAAUAUUGCGCAAUGGACGAAACUCUGACGCAGUGACGUCGCGUGCAGGAUGAAGGUCUUCGGAUUUUAAACUGCUUUAGACAGGGAAGAAAAAAGACAGUACCUGUAGACUAAGCUACUGCUAACUACGGGACAGCAGCCGCGGUAAUACGGAGGGAGCAAGCGUUAUCCGGAUUUAUUGGGUGUAAAGGGUGCGUAGACGGGGAAGCAAGGUAGUUGGUAAAUCCCACGGCUUAACUGAGGAACUGCAACUAAAACUACUUCCCUUGAGUACUGGAGAGGAAAGUGGAAUGCCUGGUGUAGCGGUGAAAUGCGUAGAUAUUACGAAGAACACCAGUGGCGAAGGCGACUUUCUGGACAGUAACUGACGUUGAGGCACGAAAGUGUGGGGAGCAAACAGGAUUAGAUACCCUGGUAGUC
Molecule: ribosomal RNA, 441 nt
Filed under: uncultured bacterium
Lineage: Bacteria
Description: partial 16S ribosomal RNA
Rfam family: Bacterial small subunit ribosomal RNA
Source: RNAcentral